RNAcentral lists this ribosomal RNA (1538 nucleotides) under Porphyromonas gingivicanis. RNAcentral describes it as "bacterial SSU rRNA". It matches the Rfam family "Bacterial small subunit ribosomal RNA". Lineage: Bacteria; Pseudomonadati; Bacteroidota; Bacteroidia; Bacteroidales; Porphyromonadaceae. The record is from RNAcentral.
UAACAAUGGAGAGUUUGAUCCUGGCUCAGGAUGAACGCUAGCGAUAGGCUUAACACAUGCAAGUCGAGGGGCAGCAUAAUUUUAGCUUGCUAAGAUUGAUGGCGACCGGCGCACGGGUGCGUAACGCGUAUGCAACCUGCCUGUAAUUAGGGGAUAGCUCGGUGAAAGUCGAAUUAAUACCCUAUAUUCUAUAUUUUUCGCAUGAUUGAUAUAGGAAAGAUUUAUUGAUUACAGAUGGGCAUGCGUUCCAUUAGCUUGUUGGUAAGGUAACGGCUUACCAAGGCAACGAUGGAUAGGGGGACUGAGAGGUUGACCCCCCACACUGGUACUGAGACACGGACCAGACUCCUACGGGAGGCAGCAGUGAGGAAUAUUGGUCAAUGGGCGCAAGCCUGAACCAGCCAAGUCGCGUGAAGGACGACGGUCCUAUGGAUUGUAAACUUCUUUUGUAGAGGAAUAAUGAUGGCCACGAGUGGCUGAAGGGAAUGUACUCUACGAAUAAGUAUCGGCUAACUCCGUGCCAGCAGCCGCGGUAAUACGGAGGAUACGAGCGUUAUCCGGAUUUAUUGGGUUUAAAGGGUGCGUAGGUGGCGAAUUAAGUCAGUGGUGAAAAGCUGCAGCUCAACUGUAGUCUUGCCGUUGAAACUGGUUUGCUUGAGAGGAGACGAGGUAUGCGGAAUGUGUGGUGUAGCGGUGAAAUGCAUAGAUAUCACACAGAACGCCGAUUGCGAAGGCAGCGUACCAGGCUCUUUCUGACACUGAAGCACGAAAGCGUGGGUAUCAAACAGGAUUAGAUACCCUGGUAGUCCACGCUGUAAACGAUGAAUACUAGAUUUUUGCGAUAUACAGUAAGAGUCUAAGCGAAAGCGAUAAGUAUUCCACCUGGGGAGUACGCCGGCAACGGUGAAACUCAAAGGAAUUGACGGGGGCCCGCACAAGCGGAGGAACAUGUGGUUUAAUUCGAUGAUACGCGAGGAACCUUACCUGGGAUUGAAAUUUAGGAGAACGAUUUAUGAAAGUAGAUUUUCCCUUCGGGGCUCCUAAGUAGGUGCUGCAUGGUUGUCGUCAGCUCGUGCCGUGAGGUGUCGGCUUAAGUGCCAUAACGAGCGCAACCCGCGUCGAUAGUUACUAACAGGUAAUGCUGAGGACUCUAUCGAGACAGCCGUCGUAAGACGAGAGGAAGGGGCGGAUGACGUCAAAUCAGCACGGCCCUUACAUCCAGGGCGACACACGUGUUACAAUGGCAAGGACAAAGGGAAGCCACAUAGCGAUAUGGAGCAGAUCCUCAAACCUUGUCCCAGUUCGGAUCGGAGUCUGCAACUCGACUCCGUGAAGCUGGAUUCGCUAGUAAUCGCGCAUCAGCCAUGGCGCGGUGAAUACGUUCCCGGGCCUUGUACACACCGCCCGUCAAGCCAUGGGAGUCGGGGGUACCUGAAGAGUGUAACCGUAAGGAGCGCUUAAGGGUAAUACCGGUGACUGGGGCUAAGUCGUAACAAGGUAGCCGUACCGGAAGGUGUGGCUGGAACACCUCCUUUCUG